This 471-nucleotide unclassified non-coding RNA is filed under the name Hevea brasiliensis (rubber tree). Lineage: Eukaryota; Viridiplantae; Streptophyta; Magnoliopsida; Malpighiales; Euphorbiaceae. The record is from RNAcentral.
AGCAUAGGAGAAAUACCUGCCAAAACAUAGUCUUGUAUCUUUGAGUGGAAAGCAACAACCAAUUAAAAAACUACUGUUCUUCCCUUCAUGGCCUCAACCCCACCAAAAAAGAAUGAGAUUACAUAUCAAUCCACGAUUUAUUUGAAAUUGAAAUCAAGAAUUAAUUUAUAAGUUUAUGGACAAGAAAAAUACUCCUAAUCAAAAAUAAAAUUUAAUACAGAAAAUAAUAUAACCAUGCAGAGCUUGAGAAUAUCUUGUUGAAUAAAUCAGAGUCAAUUUUGGACUUGAGUAUUGUGAUAUAACUGAAAUGUAGUAGUAUUGUAAUAACUUUAGAAAAAUGUUGUGAUGCAUAAUUAUAAUUAAAUGGAGUCGUCCUUGUUUGGAUACCGCUCUCCGGCCUGACCCUAUAUGAAAUUUCACAAAAUUCCUCCACCAUGGUAUUUAAGAAAAAAAAAGUUUUUUUUUUCCCAA